RNAcentral lists this transfer RNA (74 nucleotides) under Bifidobacterium pseudocatenulatum. RNAcentral's name for it is "tRNA-Ile". It matches the Rfam family "tRNA". From Rfam's summary of the family: Transfer RNA (tRNA) molecules are approximately 80 nucleotides in length. Their secondary structure includes four short double-helical elements and three loops (D, anti-codon, and T loops). Further hydrogen bonds mediate the characteristic L-shaped molecular structure. tRNAs have two regions of fundamental functional importance: the anti-codon, which is responsible for specific mRNA codon recognition, and the 3' end, to which the tRNAs corresponding amino acid is attached (by aminoacyl-tRNA synthetases). tRNAs cope with the degeneracy of the genetic code in two manners: having more than one tRNA (with a specific anti-codon) for a particular amino acid; and 'wobble' base-pairing, i.e. permitting non-standard base-pairing at the 3rd anti-codon position. Lineage: Bacteria; Bacillati; Actinomycetota; Actinomycetes; Bifidobacteriales; Bifidobacteriaceae. The record is from RNAcentral.
GUACCCUUAGCUCAGUUGGUUAGAGCAGACGACUCAUAACCGUCCGGUCGUAGGUUCGAGUCCUACAGGGUACA